GACGAACGCUGGCGGCGUGCCUAAUACAUGCAAGUUGAGCGCUGAAGGUUGGUCCUUGUACCAACUGGAUGAGCAGCGAACGGGUGAGUAACGCGUGGGGAAUCUGCCUUUGAGCGGGGGACAACAUUUAGAAACGAAUGCUAAUACCGCAUAAAAACUUUAAACACAAGUUUUAAGUUUGAAAGAUGCAAUUGCAUCACUCAAAGAUGAUCCCGCGUUGUAUUAGCUAGUUGGUGAGGUAAAGGCUCACCAAGGCGAUGAUACAUAGCCGACCUGAGAGGGUGAUCGGCCACAUUGGGACUGAGACACGGCCCAAACUCCUACGGGAGGCAGCAGUAGGGAAUCUUCGGCAAUGGACGAAAGUCUGACCGAGCAACGCCGCGUGAGUGAAGAAGGUUUUCGGAUCGUAAAACUCUGUUGGUAGAGAAGAACGUUGGUGAGAGUGGAAAGCUCAUCAAGUGACGGUAACUACCCAGAAAGGGACGGCUAACUACGU
RNAcentral lists this ribosomal RNA (496 nucleotides) under uncultured bacterium. Its description in RNAcentral is "partial 16S ribosomal RNA". It matches the Rfam family "Bacterial small subunit ribosomal RNA", at positions 28 to 506 of the family's 1533-position model. The record is from RNAcentral.